RNAcentral lists this ribosomal RNA (515 nucleotides) under uncultured bacterium. RNAcentral describes it as "partial 16S ribosomal RNA". It matches the Rfam family "Bacterial small subunit ribosomal RNA", at positions 28 to 523 of the family's 1533-position model. The record is from RNAcentral.
GACGAACGCUGGCGGCGUGCCUAAUACAUGCAAGUCGAGCGGACUUUCAAGAAGCUUGCUUUUUGAAAGUUAGCGGCGGACGGGUGAGUAACACGUGGGCAACCUGCCUGUAAGACGGGGAUAACUCCGGGAAACCGGGGCUAAUACCGGAUAAUAUCUUUCUUCGCAUGAAGGAAGGUUGAAAGGCGGCGCAAGCUGCCGCUUGCAGAUGGGCCCGCGGCGCAUUAGCUAGUUGGUGAGGUAACGGCUCACCAAGGCGACGAUGCGUAGCCGGCGUGAGAGGGUGAUCGGCCACACUGGGACUGAGACACGGCCCAGACUCCUACGGGAGGCAGCAGUAGGGAAUCUUCCGCAAUGGACGAAAGUCUGACGGGGCAACGCCGCGUGAGCGAAGAAGGUCUUCGGAUCGUAAAGCUCUGUUGUCAGGGAAGAACAAGUACCGUUCGAAUAGGGCGGUACCUUGACGGUACCUGACCAGAAAGCCACGGCUAACUACGUGCCAGCAGCCGCAGUAA